CUUCUUCGUUACCUCUUCGUUUUUCCUUGUAUGUUAUUCCUUCUUACCAUUUUUUUUUCAAUUUCUUAUGGAGUUUCGUUUGUGCUCGCAAAACCACCGCGUGUUGCUCACUGGCGAUUGGAGAAGACGAAGUAGGUACGAUCCAUUUUUAUUCUAGGUUUUCGAAUGGAAUGUGAUAGCGGGUUUUCGAAUGGUUUUCAAUUCUAGGUUUUCGCUUUUACAGUUUUCUUGGUUAUGAAUUUACUUCGUAUUCUGAGUGUUAUCUAACGGUAAAAAAUCACUGGUUAUGAGGGGCACGUAUUGGUACUAAGGGUCGAGGCGGUUGGAGAGGAUUUUGAUGCGACCAGUGAUGUCGAGGUAGCUGUAUUGUGAUGGGAGGGGUUCCGACAGAAGGCAUAAGGGUUGGUAGACUUGCUGCUGCGGCAGAGGCGACGAGUGAUGCUUCUUGAAGGAAGAAGGGUUGCUUAAUUGAAAAAGUAAGAAGGGUGAACUUAGUAUUUUUCCAAAGACUUUUGUGGUGCUGUCUCAUUGUUUGCAUAUGAUGCCCAGGUAAAAGUCUGCUGCUGCUGCUGAUAAUGCAAAUUUGAAGAGAAAUCCAUGGGUACCAGGAAGUACCAGGAAUCUUGAGAUAUAUAUUUUGAAGGAUCAGUUGCAGCUUAAAGGCCCUUGGUCACAAAUGGAUUGAUUUUCUUGAUUUUUGUGGGAAAUUGAUUUGCAGAAGAAUUGAAAUGAUUGAAGAAUUAGAGAAGAUGGCAAGCCUCAGUAUUCCCAAAGACUUGUCGAGUGAGGAAGCUAAUCAAUAUUUGAAGGAUGCAUGCGUGAAGUAUGAGAUCAAAUGUCCACCUCCUGAGACAACUGCACGUUUGUUGGAUAAAGUUUAGUGAUUGACACAUUAGGCCAGAGAACUUCUUAGUAUAGAGGUGUCACAAGGUGGUUAUGAUAUAGAAGAGAAAGCUGCAAGAGCAUAUGAUCUUGUAGCUCUUAAGUAUUUAUUGGGGACCUUCAACACACACAAACUUCCCACUAGAAAAUUACCAAACUAAACUUGAGGAAAUGAAGAAUAUGAGCAGGCAUGAGUAUGUGGCCCACUUGAGAAGAAAGAGUACUGGGUUUUCAAGGGGUGCAUCAAUGUACAGAGGAGUGACAAGGAAUUUCCUUCCAAUGCAUGUCCUAGGUAUGCAAAAGACUUUUAAGUAAGGAGCUUGCUAAGAGGAUGACAUUGUAACUGCAUAUGACAAUGCAUAUUUGACAGUCCAUGAACCGAAACUAAAAGGUGGAUUUGACAGCUUAUGUGGAGAAGCAUAAGUUCUGUUUUGAUGUUGUUUUGACGAGAAUGUUACCAAUGACGAAUUAUGAAGAGUACAUAAUGAUAAAGAGGUUAGAGAUCUUGCAACUUAUGCAUAUCUUUAUGUGAAAAUCUGAAGAAGAUUUAUCUUUUAAUUUUCUCUAUUAAAUCAUUGGAGUACUAUGGGCGUGAACCGAUUUAACUGAGAUGGAACUACAACUUUGGAGCAGCAGAGGAAAGCAUUAGUUUUGAUAUGAAAGGGCAAGUUGAAUGUGAUGGAGGAAACCCUGAUAUUGUUCAAGCUCGUGUUGAUUACUACACACAAUACUGUUCAAAGCUUGGUGUUGCUCCUGGUGAUAACCUCACUUGCUAAGCCAUCUUAGUUACUCAAUGCAUCAAGGAUAUUUUACUGGGAAGGGUUGCUCAUAAAGUUGGGGUUGCAUGUUGAAAAAAAUCCCUUUUGUCUGCAAGAAGAUUCAAGAGUCCAGCUAGGGAAUUCAUUUUUCAACAUUAUAUAUAUUUUUUAUAUUUAUAUUGUAAUUGACAAUGAAUAAACUUUAUCUUAAAUCAUCAAUAAAAUUAAUUUUGGUUAAA
This is a long non-coding RNA of Vigna unguiculata (cowpea), 1879 nucleotides long. RefSeq lists it as uncharacterized. The record is from RefSeq and is a predicted model, not a curated record. NCBI's taxonomy places the organism in Eukaryota, Viridiplantae, Streptophyta, Magnoliopsida, Fabales, Fabaceae.